This 96-nucleotide ribosomal RNA is filed under the name Methanobrevibacter gottschalkii DSM 11977. The record is from RNAcentral. Lineage: Archaea; Methanobacteriati; Methanobacteriota; Methanobacteria; Methanobacteriales; Methanobacteriaceae.
UUAUACCUGGUCUCGUUUCGAUCCCAGUAGUGAAGUCCUUUUGUGUUUUGUUUGUGUACUAUGGUUUUCUAUGGGAAUUUCAUUUCGCUGCAAGCU